GUGCUGGCUUUGGCAGCACAUAUGCUAAAAUUAGAAUGAAAGGAGAUUAGCAUGGCUCCUAUGCAAGGAUGAUGUUCAAAUUCAUGAAGCAUUCUUUUUUUUU
Molecule: small nuclear RNA, 103 nt
Organism: Dromiciops gliroides (monito del monte)
Lineage: Eukaryota; Metazoa; Chordata; Mammalia; Microbiotheria; Microbiotheriidae
Source: RefSeq, a predicted model, not a curated record